Molecule: non-coding RNA, 101 nt
Organism: Paenibacillus alvei DSM 29
Lineage: Bacteria; Bacillati; Bacillota; Bacilli; Caryophanales; Paenibacillaceae
Source: Rfam
GAUAAACCGAAUAUUGUUGCUCGUAUAAUUCCGGGAAUAUGGCCGGAAGUUUCUACCCAAGAACCGUAAAUUUUUGGACUACGAGAAUGACGAACAGGCAG